This 27-nucleotide non-coding RNA is filed under the name Bombyx mori (domestic silkworm). Lineage: Eukaryota; Metazoa; Arthropoda; Insecta; Lepidoptera; Bombycidae. The record is from RNAcentral.
UGAUAUGUCUUUGGAGUCGGUGUUGAC